UGCCCCCUCCCCCGGGAUAGCCGCCCGAAAGGACGGGUAAUACCGGAUACCCCGGGGUGCCGCAUGGCACCCCGGCUAAAGCCCCGACGGGAGGGGAUGGCUCCGCGGCCCAUCAGGUAGACGGCGGGGUGACGGCCCACCGUGCCGACAACGGGUAGCCGGGUUGAGAGACCGACCGGCCAGAUUGGGACUGAGACACGGCCCAGACUCCUACGGGAGGCAGCAGUGGGGAAUCUUGCGCAAUGGGGGGAACCCUGACGCAGCGACGCCGCGUGCGGGACGGAGGCCUUCGGGUCGUAAACCGCUUUCAGCAGGGAAGAGUCAAGACUGUACCUGCAGAAGAAGCCCCGGCUAACUACGUGCCAGCAGCCGCGGUAAUACGUAGGGGGCGAGCGUUAUCCGGAUUCAUUGGGCGUAAAGCGCGCGUAGGCGGCCCGGCAGGCCGGGGGUCGAAGCGGGGGGCUCAACCCCCCGAAGCCCCCGGAACCUCCGCGGCUUGGGUCCGGUAGGGGAGGGUGGAACACCCGGUGUAGCGGUGGAAUGCGCAGAUAUCGGGUGGAACACCGGUGGCGAAGGCGGCCCUCUGGGCCGAGACCGACGCUGAGGCGCGAAAGCUGGGGGAGCGAACAGGAUUAGAUACCCUGGUAGUCCCAGCCGUAAACGAUAGACGCUAGGUGUGGGGGGACGAUCCCCCCGUGCCGCAG
Molecule: ribosomal RNA, 704 nt
Filed under: uncultured bacterium
Lineage: Bacteria
Description: partial 16S ribosomal RNA
Rfam family: Bacterial small subunit ribosomal RNA
Source: RNAcentral